Molecule: ribosomal RNA, 139 nt
Filed under: uncultured eukaryote
Lineage: Eukaryota
Description: partial 18S ribosomal RNA
Rfam family: Eukaryotic small subunit ribosomal RNA
Source: RNAcentral
UGGUGGAGUGAUUUGUCUGGUUAAUUCCGAUAACGAACGAGACUCUGUCCUGCUAACUAGUUUGCGUGACUUUUGUUUCGCGCAAAAAUCUUCUUAGAGGGACUGGCGGCGUCUAGCCGCACGAGAUUGAGCUAUAACA